RNAcentral lists this transfer RNA (72 nucleotides) under Ictidomys tridecemlineatus (thirteen-lined ground squirrel). Its description in RNAcentral is "Spermophilus tridecemlineatus (thirteen-lined ground squirrel) tRNA". It matches the Rfam family "tRNA". From Rfam's summary of the family: Transfer RNA (tRNA) molecules are approximately 80 nucleotides in length. Their secondary structure includes four short double-helical elements and three loops (D, anti-codon, and T loops). The record is from Rfam by way of RNAcentral. Lineage: Eukaryota; Metazoa; Chordata; Mammalia; Rodentia; Sciuridae.
GGGGAUAUAGCUCAAUUGGUAGAGUAUUUGCCUCCCAUGCAUAAAGCCUGGAUUCAGUCCCCAGAACCUCCA